GGAGGGUGCAAGCGUUAUCCGGAUUCACUGGGUUUAAAGGGUGCGUAGGCGGGCAGGUAAGUCCGUGGUGAAAUCUCUGAGCUUAACUCAGAAACUGCCAUGGAUACUAUUUGUCUUGAAUAUUGUGGAGGUAAGCGGAAUAUGUCAUGUAGCGGUGAAAUGCUUAGAUAUGACAUAGAACACCAAUUGCGAAGGCAGCUUACUACACAGUUAUUGACGCUGAGGCACGAAAGCGUGGGGAUCAAACAGGAUUAGAUACCCUGGUAGUCCACGCCCUAAACGAUGAUUACUCGACAUCAGCGAUACACUGUUGGUGUCUGARMGAAAGCAUUAAGUAAUCCACCUGGGAAGUACGAUCGCAA
Molecule: ribosomal RNA, 362 nt
Filed under: uncultured bacterium
Lineage: Bacteria
Description: bacterial SSU rRNA
Rfam family: Bacterial small subunit ribosomal RNA
Source: RNAcentral